ACAACACUGCAUUCUUUUAAGUAUAAUAGAGAAGCCAAGAAAUAAUUGUCUUCAGAAUAGGACAGAGUCACAUGACAAUAUAAUGCUUUGGGAUUGCAGAAAAGGUAUUUACUAUAGUAUCUAAGUAAAGUUCCCUACAAAAGAGCAUUUUCUUGAUUUCUUAAGGAUAGAAAGACUAGUGUGUUAGAAGGGAUAUGCAGCAUACUCAAAUUAUCCAGAAAUAAUAUAGAUUAUGCUAUAUUUCUCAUUGAAUUCAGUUGAUAAAUUGUAGUAAUUGUUGAAAAAUUGAAAGUGAAUAAUUAAGGGCAAGCAGAUAUUAGUUUAUAAAGAAGCUACAAUAGUCACAGAGGCUGUGCUUACAAAGUAGUAGGGAACCAAGAAUGCCGAGGGGUAGAUGUACGGUUCUUUAUAAUCCAAAAUUCAUGUGUUUCUAGUCAGUAUGGCUAUAGACAUCAACUCAGAGAUUAUGUCAGAGCUAAAAAGAAAGUUCUAUGAAGACACAUCUUUCUUUCCGUGCUGAAAAUUCUAGCAGUAUAUUUCGGACAGAGCGUAUAACAUGUUAUAAACAUGUGCAUUUUAUAAAAACAAAUCUCCUAGAUGAAUAACUGGUGUUGUAGCUGAUCACAGGUGGGGCAACAAUUCAGGAAUGAGAGGAUGAGCCAUGAAUAAACCACAGGAAGAUUACUGCAAUUCUACUGAAAGAAAAACAAUGAAAAUCUAAGCUAAGAUUAUCCACCCUAACUCAACAUGUCCCUUGGCUUUUCUCCCUUUAUAUCCACACAGAAGUUUUCUCUGAAGCUUUGUGUGAAUAUCCUUGUCUUUAUCAUGGGUAAAAGAAUAGAAUAGUAUAUGUAACAUUUAUGAGAGAGUGAUCCCACACAAAAAAAGUCUAACCACUAAUUCCAAUCAUGUGAAACAAGAAGUAUAUAUGAGAGGUCUCAUGCACUCACAAGUGAGAGACUUUAGAGGCAGAGUAGAUUGUAUGUGCACAUAAAUUUUAACAGAGUAGAGAUGAUGUUGUUUUACGCAUCAAUUGCAAAGCAGUGAGAAUUGUUAUAGUCCUUUUUCAACCAUCAUCAGUUACUUGUGGCUUCUUAUUUCAAUAAGUAAAACUGGAAUAUCAGGCGUGGGUCUCUAGCUUGGAUCUAGAAUGCCCAUCCAAAGCCUUUAUGUUUAGCACUUGAUGUUUAGUUUGGUGUCACUGAGAAGUCCUACUAGAAUGUCUUGAAGAUACCAAGCCUGUGCCCUUGAAAUGUACAGUGGUACUCCCGCCCUACUCCUCUUCCUCUCCUGCUCCCUGGUUAUGAGAUGAACAACUUAUCUCUACUGAAUACUAACAGAAUAUCUUUACACAAGGAGAAAAUCAACAGCACUAGCUGAUUGUAAAAUAGAUUAAUGGAAGUGAAUAAAUACAAGCUAUUUUCUCUUUAUAAAUCCGAACAUCUCACAGGUCUGUUAUGGGAGCCGAAAGCUGUCUUUCACACAUGAUGUGCAUGUGACACCAAAGAGAGAGAGCAAGGUAGCAGGACAGAUUCUAGGAGCAAUUACAAAACUGAGGAAACCAUUCCAACCCAACAUUCAUUUGUCUCUAGUCAGUAUGACUAAAGACCUCAACUCUAUAAAGAUGCAUCUUCCCAUUCUAAGAAUUCUAACUCAGUGUAUUUAGGACAGAGAAUGUAUAGAUACAUGUUAAUAAAAUCUCCUAAACGAAUAACUACAAGUACGUCAGUGGUCUAUGUCCAGAAAGUACCAGAGUCUUUCCACAUAUUCCUAGAAAGAUGUUAUUAUCGCAGAUCAAGUAAAACCUGCUCUUCUAAUAAUAAUUCUACUAGUCUCUGAUCAUCAUAGGUUAACUUACAAUCUUAUCACAUUGUCAAAGAUCAACUAAUUUUUUUACGAACUUCAAUAUUAUUUCACAACAAUAGCAUUACUCAUUCUAUAAAAUUGUACAGGUAAAUAUUAAAGCAAAACUCCAUGUCCCAUAGAAUAAAUCUUACUAUCAUAUAGUAUAUACUCAAGUGUUCUUGUGUCUCAUUAUAAAUAUACAUUCAAAUUUCCCAUAACUUUAUAACUUGAAAUAGUGUUUUAUUUUUGAGAUGUUAAAUUAUUUCAUUUAUGUACUGCUUUAUUAUGUGUCCAUUGUGUUAAAAGUUUACUGUAAGAUAAAUAACAGGCCAUCCAGAGAUUGCCCCACCUGGGAAUCCAUUCCAAAUAUAUUUACCAAAUGCAAACACUAUUGUGGAUGUCAACAAAUGCUUGCUGACAGGAGCCUGAUAUAGCUGUAUAGCUGUCUCCUGAGAGACUCUGCCAGAGCCUGACAAAUACAGAGGAGGAUGCUCACAGAACCAUUUAACUGAGUAUGGGGUCCCCAUUGGAGGAGUUAGAGAAAGGACUGAAGGAGCUGAAGGGGUUUGCUACCCCAUAGGAGAAACAAUAUCAACAAACCAGACCCUACAUAGUUCGAGGGGAGGGUUAAACCACCAACUAAAGAGUAUACAUGGAGGGACCCAUGCACCAGCCACAUAUUUAGCAGAGGAUGUCCUUGUCAGAUAUCAAUGGGAGGAGAGGCCCUUGGUCCUGUGAAGGCUAGAUGCCCCAGUGUAGGGAAAUGCGAAGUGGGAGUGAGUGGGUGGGUAGAGGAACACGCUUAUAGAAGCAGGGGGAGAGGAGAUGAGAUAGGGGGUUUUCAGAGGGGAAACCAGGAAAGGAGAUAACAUUUAAAUAUAAAUAAAGAAAAUAUCUAAUAUAAAAUAUAGAUUUUAAAAAAGACAUGUAACCAGCUGAAUCACAGAUGUCAACAUUUUUAACCUGUUUUCUUUUAAUAGAAUGCAAACACUACUCUGAAGAUCAAUACCCAAUUCUGUAAAUAGAUGUAGUAAUUCCUUUAUGAUAGUAAAUGGGACAGAAGAUAAUUGCUUGAAAGGAGAGAGUGGCUAUGCAAGUAUGAGACCAGAGAGGUUGGGAGGGUUGAGGAAGCAGGACUGACAGAGCUAAGUUAAAUUCUCCAUGAAAGCCGGGGAUUUAGACAAGGUUAUAUUCUCUCCAAAUUGUACUUUGUCUUAUGUUUUACUCUAUUCAAUUCAGUAAUGAUAUGCAUUUCUUUA
Molecule: long non-coding RNA, 3104 nt
Filed under: Mus musculus (house mouse)
Lineage: Eukaryota; Metazoa; Chordata; Mammalia; Rodentia; Muridae
Description: long non-coding RNA chr16:77654741-77657845
Source: RNAcentral